RNAcentral lists this transfer RNA (72 nucleotides) under Heterocephalus glaber (naked mole-rat). It matches the Rfam family "tRNA". From Rfam's summary of the family: Transfer RNA (tRNA) molecules are approximately 80 nucleotides in length. Lineage: Eukaryota; Metazoa; Chordata; Mammalia; Rodentia; Bathyergidae. The record is from Rfam by way of RNAcentral.
GGGGGUUUAGCACAGUGGCACUGUGCCUGCCUCGAAAGCGCAAGGUCCUGAGUUCAAUCCCCGGUACCCCCC